GAUGAACGCUGGCGGCGUGCCUAAUACAUGCAAGUCGAGCGAACAGACGAGGAGCUUGCUCCUCUGACGUUAGCGGCGGACGGGUGAGUAACACGUGGAUCACCUACCUAUAAGACUGGGAUAACUUAGGGAAACCGGAGCUAAUACCGGAUAAUCUAUUGAACCGUAUGGUUCAAUAGUGAAAGACGGCUUUUCUGUCACUUAUCGAUGGUUCCGCGCCGCUUUAGAUAGUUGGUAAGGUAACGGCUUACCAAGGCAACGAUGCGUAGCCGACCUGAGAGGGUGAUCGGCCACACUGGAACUGAGACACGGUCAAGACGCCUACGGGAGGCAGCAGUAGGGAAUGUGCCGCAAUGGGCGAAAGCAUGACGGAGCAACGCCGCGUGAGUGAUGAAGGUCUUCGGAUCGUAAAACUCGGUUAUUAGGGAAGAACAAAUGUGUAAGUAACUAUGCACGGCUUGACGGUAACUAAUCAGAAAGCCACGGCUAACUACGUG
Molecule: ribosomal RNA, 497 nt
Filed under: uncultured bacterium
Lineage: Bacteria
Description: partial 16S ribosomal RNA
Rfam family: Bacterial small subunit ribosomal RNA
Source: RNAcentral